UAAGUGGGAGAAAGACCACUCUAAAUAAGAGUGGGAUGACGGUACACUAGAGAAAGCACCGGCAAACUUCGUGCCAGCAGCCGCGGUAAUACGAGGGGUGCUAGCGUUAUUCGGAUUUACUGGGCGUAAAGAGCGUGUAGGCGGUUUUUUAAGUCAGCUGUUAAAGAGCCCGGCUUAACCGGGCAGAGGCGGUUGGAACUGGAAAGCUAGAGUGCAGGAGAGAAAGGUGGAAUUCUCGGAGUAGCGGUAAAAUGCGUAGAUCUCGAGAGGAAUACCGGUUGCGAAGGCGGCCUUUUGGCCUGUAACUGACGCUGGAGCGCGAAAGCGUGGGUAGCAAACAGGAUUAGAUACCCUGGUAGUCCACGCCGUAAACGAUGAUCACUAGAUGUGGGUUUUGCUUAGCAAGAUCCGUGUCGUAGCUAACGCGUUAAGUGGUCCGCCUGGGGAGUACGGUCGCAAGAUUAAAACUCAAAGGAAUUGACGGGGGUCCGCACAAGCGGUGGAACAUGUGGUUUAAUUCGACACUACGCGAGAAACCUUACCUGGACUUGACAUGUAUCCGCUACUGAUGGAAACAUUGGGUUCUGUAGAAAUACAGACGGUUACACAGGUGCUGCAUGGCUGUCGUCAGCUCGUGUCGUGAGACGUCGGGUUAAGUCCUUGAACGAGCGCAACCCUUGCCGUUAGUUGCUAUCUGGUUACAGAUGAACUCUAACGGGACUGCUUCGGAAACGGAGAGGAAGGUGGGGAUGACGUCAAGUCCUCAUGGCCCUUAUGUCCAGGGCGACACACGUGUUACAAUGGCGAGCAACAAAGGGGUGCAAAAUCGCGAGGUGGAGCAAAUCCCAUAAAACUCGUCUAAGUUCGGAUUGAAGUCUGCAAUUCGACUUCAUGAAGCUGAAAUCGCUAGUAAUCGCGUAUCAGAACGACGCGGUGAAUACGUUCUCGGACCUUGUACACACCGCCCGUCACACCACGAAAGCCGUCUACGCCCGAAACUAUUUUAGCUAACCAGGAAACUGGAGGCGGGU
RNAcentral lists this ribosomal RNA (1031 nucleotides) under uncultured Verrucomicrobiota bacterium. RNAcentral describes it as "bacterial SSU rRNA". It matches the Rfam family "Bacterial small subunit ribosomal RNA", at positions 434 to 1454 of the family's 1533-position model. The record is from RNAcentral. Lineage: Bacteria; Pseudomonadati; Verrucomicrobiota.